GAUGAAGAACGUAGCGAAAUGCGAUACGCAGUGUGAAUUGCAGAAUUCAGUGAAUCAUCGAAUCUUUGAACGCACAUUGCACCUCUCGGUAUUCCGGGAGGUAUGCCUGUUCGAGCGUCAUUUGUACCCUCAAGCUCUGCUUGGUGUUGGGUGUUUGUUCCGCCUCUGUGUGUGAACUCGCCUCAAAACAAUUGGCAGCCGGCGUACUUGUUUCGGAGCGCAGCACAUUUUGCGAUCCAGAUCAACGUACAGCGGCAUCCAAGAAGCCUUAUUUAACGCUCUUGACCUCGGAUCAGGUAGGGAUACCCGCUGAACUUAAGCAUAUCAAUAAGCGGAGGA
RNAcentral lists this unclassified non-coding RNA (339 nucleotides) under soil metagenome. RNAcentral describes it as "partial contains 5.8S ribosomal RNA, internal transcribed spacer 2, and large subunit ribosomal RNA". The stretch from base 1 to 120 matches the Rfam family "5.8S ribosomal RNA", at positions 35 to 154 of the family's 154-position model. The record is from RNAcentral.